UGGGGAAUAUUGCACAAUGGGCGCAAGCCUGAUGCAGCCAUGCCGCGUGUAUGAAGAAGGCCUUCGGGUUGUAAAGUACUUUCAGCGGGGAGGAAGGCGAUGUGGUUAAUAACCGCGUCGAUUGACGUUACCCGCAGAAGAAGCACCGGCUAACUCCGUGCCAGCAGCCGCGGUAAUACGGAGGGUGCAAGCGUUAAUCGGAAUUACUGGGCGUAAAGCGCACGCAGGCGGUCUGUCAAGUCGGAUGUGAAAUCCCCGGGCUCAACCUGGGAACUGCAUCCGAAACUGGCAGGCUUGAGUCUCGUAGAGGGGGGUAGAAUUCCAGGUGUAGCGGUGAAAUGCGUAGGGAUCUGGAGGAAUACCGGUGGCGAAGGCGGCCCCCUGGACAAAGACUGACGCUCAGGUGCGAAAGCGUGGGGAGCAAACA
This 427-nucleotide ribosomal RNA is filed under the name uncultured bacterium. RNAcentral describes it as "partial 16S ribosomal RNA". It matches the Rfam family "Bacterial small subunit ribosomal RNA", at positions 355 to 774 of the family's 1533-position model. The record is from RNAcentral.